UAAUACGAAGGGGGCUAGCGUUGUUCGGAAUUACUGGGCGUAAAGGGCGCGCAGGCGGUCCUUCAAGUCAGGCGUGAAAGCCCCGGGCUCAACCUGGGAACUGCGCUUGAGACUGGAGGACUUGAGGACGGGAGAGGAGAGUGGAAUUCCCAGUGUAGAGGUGAAAUUCGUAGAUAUUGGGAAGAACACCAAUGGCGAAGGCAGCUCUCUGGACCGUACCUGACGCUGAGGCGCGAAAGCGUGGGGAGCAAACAGGAUUAGAUACCCUGGUAGUCCACGCCGUAAACGAUGUGUGCUAGACGUUGGGAGACCUAGUCUCUCGGUGUCGCAGCUAACGCUUUAAGCACACCGCCUGGGGAGUACGGCCGCAAGGUUA
RNAcentral lists this ribosomal RNA (376 nucleotides) under uncultured bacterium. Its description in RNAcentral is "bacterial SSU rRNA". It matches the Rfam family "Bacterial small subunit ribosomal RNA", at positions 521 to 896 of the family's 1533-position model. The record is from RNAcentral.